ACUCCUACGGGAGGCAGCAGUGGGGAAUAUUGCACAAUGGGCGCAAGCCUGAUGCAGCCAUGCCGCGUGUAUGAAGAAGGCCUUCGGGUUGUAAAGUACUUUCAGCAGUGAGGAAGGCGGGUACGUUAAUAGCGUGCUCGUUUGACGUUAGCUGCAGAAGAAGCACCGGCUAACUCCGUGCCAGCAGCCGCGGUAAUACGGAGGGUGCGAGCGUUAAUCGGAAUUACUGGGCGUAAAGCGCAUGCAGGUGGUUUGUUAAGUCAGAUGUGAAAGCCCGGGGCUCAACCUCGGAAUUGCAUUUGAAACUGGCAGACUAGAGUACUGUAGAGGGGGGUAGAAUUUCAGGUGUAGCGGUGAAAUGCGUAGAGAUCUGAAGGAAUACCGGUGGCGAAGGCGGCCCCCUGGACAGAUACUGACACUCAGAUGCGAAAGCGUGGGGAGCAAACAGGAUUAGAUACCCUGGUA
Molecule: ribosomal RNA, 465 nt
Filed under: uncultured bacterium
Lineage: Bacteria
Description: bacterial SSU rRNA
Rfam family: Bacterial small subunit ribosomal RNA
Source: RNAcentral